GACGAACGCUGGCGGCGUGCUUAACACAUGCAAGUCGAGCGGUAAGGCCCUUUCGGGGGUACACGAGCGGCGAACGGGUGAGUAACACGUGGGUGACCUGCCCUUAGCUCUGGGAUAAGCCUGGGAAACUGGGUCUAAUACCGGAUAUGACUCCAUGACGCAUGUUGUGGGGUGGAAAGCCUUGUGCGGCUAGGGAUGGGCCCGCGGCCUAUCAGCUUGUUGGUGGGGUGAUGGCCUACCAAGGCGACGACGGGUAGCCGGCCUGAGAGGGCGACCGGCCACACUGGGACUGAGACACGGCCCAGACUCCUACGGGAGGCAGCAGUGGGGAAUCUUGCGCAAUGGGCGAAAGCCUGACGCAGCGACGCCGCGCGGGGAUGACGGCCU
This 387-nucleotide ribosomal RNA is filed under the name uncultured bacterium. Its description in RNAcentral is "bacterial SSU rRNA". It matches the Rfam family "Bacterial small subunit ribosomal RNA", at positions 28 to 417 of the family's 1533-position model. The record is from RNAcentral.